CGAUAAUCUGCCGUUAGAUUCGGGAUACCCUCGGGAAACUGAGGUUAAAACCGGAUAGUGGAUUGGUGCUGGAAUGCUCUUUCCAUCAAACGUAAGGUCUAAGGAUGAGUCGGCGGCUGAUUAGGCAGUUGGUGGGGUAAUGGCUCACCAAACCGAGAAUCAGUAGGGGAGAUGAGAGUCUUGGCCCCGAGAAGGACACUGAGAUACUGGUCCUAGCCCUAAGGGGUGCAGCAGUUACGAAAACUCUACAAUGCGCGAAAGCGUGAUAGGGGAAUUCCAAGUGCUUUACCAAUGGUAAGGCUUUUGCCAAGUGUAAGUAGCUUGGCGAAUAAGUGGUGGGUAAGACCGGUGCCAGCCGCCGCGGUAACCCCGGCGCCACAAGUGGUAGCCACAUUUAUUGGGUCUAAAGCGUUCGUAGCCGGUUUGGGUUAUUUUAUGUGAAAUCGUUGGGCUUAACUUAACGGUGUGCAUAAAACACUCCCAAACUUGAGACCGGGAGGAGGUAGAGGUAUUCUGGGGGGAGCGGUAAAAUGCUAUAAUCCCUAGAGGACCACCAGUGGCGAAGGCUUCUAUCUAGAACGGGUCUGACGGUGAGGAACGAAGGCCAGGGGAGCAAAUCGGAUUAGAUACCCGAGUAGUCCUGGCUGUAAACGCUGCGAGCUAGGUGGUGCAAAUUCCUUGAGGAUUUGCAACGCCUGAACGAAGGUGUUAAGCUCGCCACCUGGGGAGUAUAGUCGCAAGACCGAAACUUAAAGGAAUUGGCGGGGGCUCGCUACAAGGGGUGCGGCGUGCGGUUCAAUCUAACAAUACGCAGAGAAUCUCACCAGGGGCGACGGCAGAAUGAAGGUCAGAUUAAAGGUUUUACCUAACAAGCCCGAUA
Molecule: ribosomal RNA, 880 nt
Filed under: uncultured euryarchaeote
Lineage: Archaea; Methanobacteriati; Methanobacteriota
Description: bacterial SSU rRNA
Rfam family: Archaeal small subunit ribosomal RNA
Source: RNAcentral